UGACAAGUCGAGCGGUAGCACAGAGAGCUUGCUCUCGGGUGACGAGCGGCGGACGGGUGAGUAAUGUCUGGGAAACUGCCUGAUGGAGGGGGAUAACUACUGGAAACGGUAGCUAAUACCGCAUAAUGUCGCAAGACCAAAGUGGGGGACCUUCGGGCCUCAUGCCAUCAGAUGUGCCCAGAUGGGAUUAGCUAGUAGGUGGGGUAACGGCUCACCUAGGCGACGAUCCCUAGCUGGUCUGAGAGGAUGACCAGCCACACUGGAACUGAGACACGGUCCAGACUCCUACGGGAGGCAGCAGUGGGGAAUAUUGCACAAUGGGCGCAAGCCUGAUGCAGCCAUGCCGCGUGUGUGAAGAAGGCCUUCGGGUUGUAAAGCACUUUCAGCGGGGAGGAAGGCGUUGAGGUUAAUAACCUUGGCGAUUGACGUUACCCGCAGAAGAAGCACCGGCUAACUCCGUGCCCAGCAGCCGCGGUAAUACGGAGGGUGCAAGCGUUAAUCGGAAUUACUGGGCGUAAAGCGCACGCAGGCGGUCUGUCAAGUCGGAUGUGAAAUCCCCGGGCUCAACCUGGGAACUGCAUUCGAAACUGGCAGGCUAGAGUCUUGUAGAGGGGGGUAGAAUUCCAGGUGUAGCGGUGAAAUGCGUAGAGAUCUGGAGGAAUACCGGUGGCGAAGGCGGCCCCCUGGACAAAGACUGACGCUCAGGUGCGAAAGCGUGGGGAGCAAACAGGAUUAGAUACCCUGGUAGUCCACGCCGUAAACGAUGUCGAUUUGGAGGUUGUGCCCUUGAGGCGUGGCUUCCGGAGCUAACGCGUUAAAUCGACCGCCUGGGGAGUACGGCCGCAAGGUUAAAACUCAAAUGAAUUGACGGGGGCCCGCACAAGCGGUGGAGCAUGUGGUUUAAUUCGAUGCAACGCGAAGAACCUUACCUGGUCUUGACAUCCACAGAACUUUCCAGAGAUGGAUUGGUGCCUUCGGGAACUGUGAGACAGGUGCUGCAUGGCUGUCGUCAGCUCGUGUUGUGAAAUGUUGGGUUAAGUCCCGCAACGAGCGCAACCCUUAUCCUUUGUUGCCAGCGGUCCGGCCGGGAACUCAAAGGAGACUGCCAGUGAUAAACUGGAGGAAGGUGGGGAUGACGUCAAGUCAUCAUGGCCCUUACGACCAGGGCUACACACGUGCUACAAUGGCAUAUACAAAGAGAAGCGACCUCGCGAGAGCAAGCGGACCUCAUAAAGUAUGUCGUAGUCCGGAUUGGAGUCUGCAACUCGACUCCAUGAAGUCGGAAUCGCUAGUAAUCGUAGAUCAGAAUGCUACGGUGAAUACGUUCCCGGGCCUUGUACACACCGCCCGUCACACCAUGGGAGUGGGUUGCAAAAGAAGUAGGUAGCUUAACCUUCGGGAGGGCGC
This 1407-nucleotide ribosomal RNA is filed under the name Klebsiella pneumoniae. RNAcentral's name for it is "bacterial SSU rRNA". It matches the Rfam family "Bacterial small subunit ribosomal RNA". Lineage: Bacteria; Pseudomonadati; Pseudomonadota; Gammaproteobacteria; Enterobacterales; Enterobacteriaceae. The record is from RNAcentral.